Molecule: ribosomal RNA, 253 nt
Filed under: uncultured bacterium
Lineage: Bacteria
Description: partial 16S ribosomal RNA
Rfam family: Bacterial small subunit ribosomal RNA
Source: RNAcentral
UACGGGGGGGGCAAGCGUUGUUCGGAAUUACUGGGCGUAAAGGGCUCGUAGGCGGCCAACUAAGUCAGACGUGAAAUCCCUCGGCUUAACCGGGGAACUGCGUCUGAUACUGGAUGGCUAGAGGUUGGGAGAGGGAUGCGGAAUUCCAGGUGUAGCGGUGAAAUGCGUAGAUAUCAGGAGGAACACCGGUGGCGAAGGCGGGUCUCUGGGCCGAUACUGACGCUGAGGAGCGAAAGCGUGGGGAGCGAACAGG